This 191-nucleotide unclassified non-coding RNA is filed under the name soil metagenome. RNAcentral's name for it is "partial internal transcribed spacer 1". The record is from RNAcentral.
ACGAGUUAGGGUCCUCUAGGCCCGACCUCCCAACCCUUUGCUUACCGAACCUCUGUUGCUUCGGCGGGCCCGUCUCACGACCGCCGGAGGACCGCCGCAGGGCGUGUCCUCUAGCCCGUGUCCGCCGAUAGCCAACUACGAAACUCUGUAUAAAUCAUGUCUCAUGUCUAAGUCAAAUUGAAUUAAAAGCA